RNAcentral lists this ribosomal RNA (412 nucleotides) under uncultured bacterium. RNAcentral's name for it is "bacterial SSU rRNA". It matches the Rfam family "Bacterial small subunit ribosomal RNA", at positions 29 to 484 of the family's 1533-position model. The record is from RNAcentral.
AACGAACGCUGGCGGCAGGCCUAACACAUGCAAGUCGAACGGUUGUAGCAAUACAGCCGUGGCGCACGGGUGAGUAACGCGUGGGAAUCUGCCCUGUAGUACGGAAUAACAGUUGGAAACGACUGACAAAACCGUAUACCGCCUUCGGGGGAAAAAUUUAUUGCUAUAGGAUGAGCCCGCGUAAGAUUAGCUAGUUGGUGAGGUACUGGCUCACCAAGGCUACGAUCUUUAGCUGGUCUGAGAGGAUGAUCAGCCACACUGGAACUGAGACACGGUCCAGACUCCUACGGGAGGCAGCAGUGGGGAAUAUUGGACAAUGGGCGAAAGCCUGAUCCAGCCAUGCCGCGUGAGUGAUGAAGGCCCUACGGUUGUAAAGCUCUUUUGUCAGGGAAGAUAAUGACGGUACCUGAAG